Molecule: ribosomal RNA, 497 nt
Filed under: uncultured bacterium
Lineage: Bacteria
Description: partial 16S ribosomal RNA
Rfam family: Bacterial small subunit ribosomal RNA
Source: RNAcentral
GACGAACGCUGGCGGCGUGCCUAAUACAUGCAAGUUGAGCGCUGAAGGUUGGUACUUGUACCAACUGGAUGAGCAGCGAACGGGUGAGUAACGCGUGGGGAAUCUGCCUUUGAGCGGGGGACAACAUUUGGAAACGAAUGCUAAUACCGCAUAAAAACUUUAAACACAAGUUUUAAGUUUGAAAGAUGCAAUUGCAUCACUCAAAGAUGAUCCCGCGUUGUAUUAGCUAGUUGGUGAGGUAAAGGCUCACCAAGGCGAUGAUACAUAGCCGACCUGAGAGGGGGAUCGGCCACAUUGGGACUGAGACACGGCCCAAACUCCUACGGGAGGCAGCAGUAGGGAAUCUUCGGCAAUGGACGAAAGUCUGACCGAGCAACGCCGCGUGAGGGAAGAAGGGUUUCGGAUCGUAAAACUCUGUUGGUAGAGAAGAACGUUGGUGAGAGUGGAAAGCUCAUCAAGUGACGGUAACUACCCAGAAAGGGACGGCUAACUACGUG